GGUCAUGGUUCUAGAACUCUCACAUGUACCAACUCCCUUAAUCCCCAUAAAUUCCUGUGAGGUUACUAUUACCCCCAUUUUACAGAUGGGGAAACCAUAGCACAGAGAGGGGAAGAACCCAGGGAGCUGGAGUCCAGAGCAUGUCCUAUUGAGUCGUGGCCUUUGCUGGAAAUGUUCCUGGAAGACUGGUUCACUUCAAGGCACAGAAAGGGAAAUACAAGAGCAAUGUCUAUAGGAGGUCAGUAAUGGGGCCUACCUGGAUUGGAGCUAUCCAUGGGUAAUGGAGUGCAAGGGCAGAGACUGGACUGGGAGAUGCAGUGACCAGCUGGAUCCCUGGCCGGUGGGUCGCAGCCCUGGGGGGUCAUCAAAGUGUGGGUUAGUCUGGAGGGGGCGCCCAGUGACUGUCUCCCAAUGCUUGUGUUGGCCAGAAACCAUUUGGCAUCCUCUGUAGCAACUCCAAAUGGCAUGUGUAUGUUCCAGGUGAGGCGAUGUCAGCUGGAGGAGGAGGAAUGGAGAAACUACAGGACCCUAUCUGGAUCCAGGAAGAGCCAGGAGUGCGGGAACAAGGCAGCCCAACCUAAUAAGGUGAAUUUCCAGCUUCCCUGGGAGGGUUGAGAUGGAAACUAUGGACCUGUCUUGUUUGGACUGAAGUGGUACCACACAGGGGCUGCCUGGCCAUGGACCACAGCGUUCCCAUCUCCCCGUCAGCCACAGACACAAAGAGGAGCUGGAGUUCUGCACGCCAGAUGUCACUGUACUGCGGUGAACAGGAAAGGGGACUAAUUCCCGGGUCACCCGGCCCAAAUCCUGAAUCAUCUUUCCCGCCAGCUGGAGCCGCAGUGUCUACUGAAGAUGCAAAAACUGAGGCUCCUUGACAGCUGCAGUCCUUUAAAGCCAUGGUGCAGCUACCCAGAGGUGGAAUGCAUCCUUGGCAAUCCGUCUCACGAAGCCCUCCAGGUGACUGCAAAGUGCCGGAGUGACGACCCCAUGGCUGGGGUUGUGCAGUGGUGACCAUUUUCCAGAAAGGAAAACCUUCCGUUAAAAGCUGUUGUUUUCUGGAGUAUUUCAAUCCUAGAUACCACAUCAUCUCACCUGUAACUACUUUCGUAAGCCUAUGUAACAGAUGUGGGUCAGAUUCCCAGCGAUGCCCAACUCUGAUGCCGAAGAAAGCCGGGAGACUUGCGAGGGACUUAAAGAGACAGCACAGCUUUUCCAGGUAAAACUAGUUUGUUCCACACAGGAGCUCUGAGAUAAAGAAACCAAAAGGAAGGUCCAAUAGGAGGGUGCGAGUGAAUGGUGGGAGUGGUGGGUUCUGUGUUCGCCUGCCGUCAUUUGAGCAGAGUCCCCUGUGUGCCAGGUGCUGCUCUAGAAACUGAUUUUGGUGUUUAUACAGGCUCCUUUCUCACAACUCCCGAUUGUUGUCCUUUACAACUGCAGGCCAUGGCUGUCUCUUUUUUGUUUGUUUGUUUUUUGAGACAGUGUUUUGCUCUUGUUGCCCAGGCUGGAGUGCAAUGGCACGAUCUCGGCUCACUGCAACCUCCACCUCCUGGGUUCCAGCGAUUCUCCUGCCUCAGCCUCCCAGGUAGCUGGGAUUACAGGCAUGUGUCACCACACCCAGCUAGUUUUGUAUUUUUAGUAGAGACGGGGUUUCACCAUGUUGGUCAGGCUGGUUUUGAACUCCUGACCUCAGGUGAUCCACCCACCUCAGGCUCCCGAAGUGCUGGGAUUACAGGUGUGAGCCACUGCGCUGGCCUCAUUUUUUUGAGAUGGAGUUUUGCUCUCGUUGCCCAGGCUGGAGUGCAAUGGUGCGGUCUCAGCUCACAGCAACCUCUGUCUCCUGGGUUCAAACGAUUCUCCUGCCUCAGUCUCCUGAGUAGCUGGGAUUGCAGGCAUCCGCCACCACGCCCCACUAAUUUUUGUAUUUUUAGUAGAGACAGGGUUUCACCAUGUUGGCCAGGCUGGUCUUGAACUCCUGACCUCAGAUGAUCCGCCUGCCUUGGCCUCCCAAAGUGCUGGGAUUACAGACAUGAGCCACCUUGCCCAACCCAUGGCUGACUCUUAAUCAGCUUCCCUCAAACCCACAACUAAGGGUUCCCUCUGUCUAUUUCAAGGCUGGGUAAACUCCAGGCUGCUAGAUUGGACAUGUUCAUUAUACUAAUGGCAUCUGUUUCCUCUGAUCAGCACCAUGAUACCACAAGGAAAGCAGGCAGGCAUCGUUAGCUUGGUGCACAGAUGGGACCACCAGGGCCGGGAGGGUGAUGCUUGUUAGGGUUUCGCUGAGGCUCAGGUGCCAUUGGUUCCAAACACAUGUGCUUUUCCACAGCAUGCUGAGACCUGAGGGCUGAGUGCAGCUCUUUGGAACUUAGGAAGAAAGAAGUGGGACCAAGAUGGGCAAAGGGGCUGGGUGCAGAGAUCCAUCUCGUGCUACUAGUCCAGCCCAUCUCCAACCCAGCUUCAUCAUAGAGCUGUCCUAUCUCUGCCACCACACAUACCCAGCUAAGAGAUAGUUCUUUUUUUAAAUAGCAAAGGCAGAUUUAUUUGCUUAAGUUUCCUGGCAGCCCUGGCAGCUGGUUGAAACACCUGUGAGCUCUGCCGCAGCUCCUGCUAAAGCCACUUCAUUGUGUUUGUAGGGUACAGCUGUGCAGCUGCCCAUGGGUCUGGGCAGGCUCCUCUAACCUCUGAAGUUCUGCAGAUCUUCGCAGGCUCCCUCCCCAGCCUCCCCCGGGGUGCCAUCCUUGGGGCAAGCAGCUAUCACCCCUGUCUGGGCUUGGUAAGGAGUAGUCUAUAUUGUGUGGACCUGCGCUGGAGAAAGCAUGGCCCGGGGACCAGUAGACAUGCAGAAUCUCGGGCUCCACACCACAACGUCUGAGUCAGUUUCUUCAUUGCCACAAGGUCCCCAAGUGCUCCGUGCACACACUAAAGUAUGAAAGGAGUCCUGCUUUGAGACGUGGCUGCCCACCUGCAGAAGACUGCGGUCCAGGCCAGGAAUGAUGAGGCCCCUCACCCACUCUCCACUUCCAUUGUUUCUGCUUUUGCCGCAAUUGACAGUUGUCUUAUUUAUUUGUUUGCUUAUUGUUUAUCUCCCGCAGAAUAUAAAUUAUAUGGGCAAAGAUACUGUUUCAGUCAGUGCCGAAUUCUUAGUGUCUUGCCCAGAGCUCUGCACAAGGUAGGUAUCCAAAAAAUAUUAGUAGGUUGGCCGGUGAGUUGGAUGAAGGAAUGAAGGAAGGAAUGAAGAUAGAGAAAGGGGGAGGAAGGAGAGAAACAGGUAGGUGCUUUGGCUGACAAGUUGGCUGUCCUCCUCUUAAGAUCCUUAGAGACAAUUCUUGUUACUCUCACUCUCCUGUGAAUGCUCUGGCCCAGGUGCAAGGCCGCUGUUAGUAGCAAUGUGACAGGGAGGGGUGUAGAGUGCUUGCAAGAAUUCUCCAGUCACCAGCACUGUGACUGCAGAAUGUGGUUGUCACAUUUAUUUCAGCUGGGAAACUCUUUUGUAAAUGAAACCUGAUGCAGAAACCUGAUCUAGGUGAUGUAUGUAUCCAGGGGGGUUCAUUGCUCUCGGGUUCCAGAUCAGGGGAUGCUGACAUGCCCAGCUCAGGUCUCCCAACCACAAGUGCCCUGCAAGGGACAGGGUCUUCCUUGCACCCCUUCCCCUCCAUCCUUCUUGUUCUCACCUGUGUUAGAUUGCAUGCACAAAAGCUCUUCUGUGUCUCUUCUUUCGUGAGGGAGCUUGAUGGUUCAUCAGGGUAAGGCCAAAGCCAGUCAUGUUCCUGCAACAGAGCCAGGCUGAUAGUAGUGGGCAAGCACCCUGAGUCUUCCCUGGAGCCCAGCAAUCUUCCCCAGCCCCCACGAGAUGGACUUUUUAACCUGCUGAACAGAUAACAGCAGAAGUGCGUCUAGUGCCACAGAGCCUCCUCCCUAAGGACAACCCCUCCCCAGCUGCCUCCUUGUUGCACCUGAAGAGUUACCCAGUGACAAACCAUGGUCAAUAAAUCUCUCCUACCCAACUUUGAAGAUGAAAAAACUAAAGCCAGAGAGGAGCAGUGACCUGCCUUUGGCUCCCAGUGGCCAAGCUGGGGUGACAGUUGCUUCCCCUGGGAGAUGCAUAGCUCUUCCCCCAAACCCUUCUCCAGCCUGGCCCUCUCUUUGGGCAAAAGAAAAAUGCUAAGCAAUGGUGAGUCACUAGACUGAUGAUCCCUAGGGGCCAAGUCACGGAGAGGUGACUUGUUUUUCUCUGUGGUCAAGCGUCCUUCUACUGACAACCCUUCAGUAGUGUGAACUUCAGACUGAUCUUUGAUAUUCGGUGCCUGGGUUGCCAUCACAAGUGUGGGAUGGCAUGCAAUCAGAACACAGCAGCAGGCAGCUUUGGCCCUUGAAUCAUUUGCUCAUAAAAGAUUACUUUUCAGUAGCUGCAGAAUCAAAAUUGUGACGGCAUAAUUGAGACACACAAUGGAUCACAUGGUUCCCUUUUUUUUUUUUUUGGAGAUGGAGUUUUGCUCUUGUCACCCAGGCUGGAGUGCAAUGGCACGAUCUCAGCUCACUACAACCUCUGCCUCCCGGGUUCAGGUGAUUCUCCUGCCUCAGCUUCCCGAAUAGCUGGGAUUACAGGCAUGUACCACCAUGCCUGGCUAAUUUUGUAUUAUUAGUAGAGAUGGGGUUUCACCAUGUUGGCCACCAGACUUGUCUCGAACUCAGGUAAGGAGUUCCUCAGCCUGCCUCAGCCUCCCAAAGUUCUGAGAUUAUAGGUGUGAGCUACCAUGCCCAGCCACACAUGGUUCACUUUUACAGGAAGGGACCCAUUCUUGCAGGGCACUGCUGUCUUCUGUGGCCCUUCUCACACUUGUAACUGCUAGUUCAGCUCCUGCAUUCCCACCUGACUCCACACACCAAGACUCACGUUUGCUGUUGUUCAGGCUCUGGCAUACCAGAUACUUGAUAAAUGUUGGCUGAAUGAAUGAAUAAACAAAUCUACAAUUCAGUGGAACUCAUCUGGAGUUUCUUGGUUAUUUGUUGUAGGUUUGUCCACACAAUGUCUUUUUAUCAAAUGCUCCAGUUAUCUCCCAGACUUGCCUUGAUGUGGAGACUAACUCUCUUUUUGGUUUCAUUCUAGCUGGGUUUUAAGUUGGCUUUGGGAACACGAUGCACGAGAAAGUGAAACAAUAUGCAGACAGCAGACAGCAGACUGCUGCACUAAUGGAGACACGUGGGGGCUGUGGCCCUCCGGGGCUGCUAAGCUUAACCCUCUGAAACUGCCUUGUGGGUGAGAAAUCACUUUCUGGAAAUCGGGGGUGGUUUUCACCUUCCUCACUGGGGAAACAUUUGAAGCUAUUUCUGACGUCCACACCCAUCCUCCCAGCUUGCUCAAGGAAUUGUUAGAAGUGGCCUCCUAGGUAUGCAGGGGGCUCCUCAGGUGUUCAGCUCAGAGAUCCAUGCUGGGCGCAAGAUGUGAUAUCUGCAGUCUAGGUAUGUAAAAUCAGAGAGGGGAUGGGUGAAAAACAAGGUUUUUAAAAAAAUGUUUUUAAAAGAGGAGUUAAAAAAAAAAACAAAAAACAGGGGCAGGCUGAGUGCAGUGGCUUAAGCCUGUAAUCCUAGCACUUUGGGAGGCCAAGGCAGAUGGAUCACCUGAGGUCAGGAGUUCAAGACCAGCCUGGCCAACAUGGUGAAACCCAAUCUCUACUAAAAAUACAAAAAUUAGCCGGGUAUGGUGGUGCAUGCCUAUAAUCCCAGCUACUCAGGAGGCUGAGGCAGGAGAAUUGCUUGAACUCAGAAGGCAGAGGUUGCAGUGAGCUGAGAUUGUGCCACUGCAUUCCAGCCUGGGCAACAGAGUGAGACUCCAUCUUAAAAAAAAAAAAGAGCAGCAAGUAUGUGCCCUUCUCUUCCCUGUGCACUGUCUAUGUAUGUAGUUAUUUUUUACUUUUUGAGGUGGAGUAUCACUCUGUUACCCAGGCUGGAGUGCAGUGACACAGUCUUGGCUCACUACAGCCUCUGCCUCCCAGGUUCAAGCAAUUCUGGUGCCUCAGCCUCUCAAUAGCUGGGACUACAGACAUGUGCCACCACACCUAAUUUUUUUAAAUAGACAGAUUUUACCAUGUUGGCUAGGCUGGUCUCGAACUCCUGACCUCAGGUGACCUGCCUGCCUCCACCUUCCAAACUGCUGGGAUUACAGGUGUGAGCCACCAUGCCUGGCCUAUCUAUGUAGUCUUAACUUACCACACAUGUAUUAAGCCCUAGGAUGAAGUUCCAUUUUAUUUGGUUCACAGCAUUGUCAGUUUUUUGGAAAACAAGUGUUGAAUGAUGUGUUUUCAGCUUGGAAUUGAAAGGUGCAGCGAGGAAGUGGGUUUCCUAGUCUGAUCUCACCAGGAGACUUGAAGUGGGAAUUUGCAAUUAAAGACUUCCUGUUUGCAUGAAGAACAUCCAGACUCAAAAAAAAGAAAAGAAAAAGGUGGCUAGACCAGGUCAAUGGGCUUCAAAACACAAGGCUUCCACUCCUGUCAUCAUUGCUCACACAGGGAGAGAAAGAGGAAGAGGUUUCUCCUGUUUCCAUGGCUUUGUGUCCUCAGGCUGUUGGUCUCCCUGACAGUUGCGAUGUGACUGCUUUUUCACUUGUUGUGACUCCUCACCCCAGGAACUGGGAUCUUUAGCUCCAUAAUAAUGCCGCCAAAGUGGUGUGUAAUUCUCCAUUUCCCUAACAGUGACCACCUGCAGUGGGUUAAAAGAUGGCUGUAAGUUUCUGCCACCUCUCCCACCAAGGGGUGAAGAUUCUUUCCACUCUUCUUGCAUCUUGGCUGGAAUAUGACUUGCUUUGCUCAAUAGAAUGUGACAAAAGUGAUGUUGCAUAACUUCCAAAGUCAGGGCUUAAGAGAUUUGCAGCUUUUGCUUUCCCUUGCUUGGAACACUCCCACUUGGAAUUCAGCACUGUGCUGUAAGAAGCUCCAGCCUAGUGGAGAACCCAUAUGGAAGGAAACUGAGGUGCUUCUAUUGACAAUUCACCUAAGCCCCUGACUGACAGCCAGCAUGAACUGCCAGCAAGGUGAAUGAAUGAGAGAGUGCCACUCCAGCCCAGUUGAGCUUCUAGACAAGUGUGGCCCCAGAUGACAUCACCAUAGAACAGAAGAACCACCCAGCUGAGCCCAGUCUACCCAUAGAAAUGUGAGUGAUGAUAAAUGGUUUUUGUUUUAAGCUACCAUAUUUUGGGAUCAUUUGUUAUGCAGCAGUGCACAAAUGAAACUUAGAGUGGGGUUUGUGAAGAUUUCUGAAGGCAGAGAAUGUCUUUUCCUCACUUCUUACAAAGUGCAGUGUUUGGCUAGGGUGUAAAUUUCCAAUGAAAACUGGACCUGGGAGGUGAUUUUUUAAAUAUUAGAAUCAAAGGGGCCCUUGCAGAACACCUUACCUACUUUUUACUCAUAGGCAGGUGACCUUCCUUGUCAGCUGGAAAGCCCUGUCUUCAUUCUGGCAUCAAUAAGCCUCUCCUUCCCUGGAUGAUCUUCUCAAACUAUUUUCAUCAUGUGGAUUGCAUGUAAAUUACUUAUCUUCCCUCCCUCUACCUCCAACCUGCCAGCAACAUCUGGAUGCUUUUUAAAGUCAAAUCUUGGUCCCCGUGGACAAAAUGUCAAAGGCUGUCUCUACUCAUCCUUCACAUGAGUGAAGGUCAAGGAAGGCUUGGGGUACCCCAGAUUUCAGGGCUGCCUCCCAGUGCUGGGUUUCCUGUGGCUGCUCCAAGCUUCACCUUGAGGAGCCCAUGUUAGCAGUACCCGAUGUUAGCAGUACCCCAGGCAUCUCUGUCAAUUCCAGGGAUGCCAUAGAGGCUUCAGAACUAAAUGGACGUGGAUCCAGUUUUAUUUCAAACAAUCCUCCAUGAGUGGGGCAAGUGAGAGUCACUGAGAGCAGAAUGAGAGCCUCUCAGGAGAGGAUCAAGUAGGCAUAAGACUCUCACCCUCCUGGAGUCCCCAGGUGCACCUUGCUGUGGUGUUUGUUGACAACCUUACGAUGCCAGAUGCUGCCAAACCACAAUUCAACUUGUACUGCUGCCUGAGGUCAGGCUCCCCAUUUGUCCCAGCAAUCUCGUUACUGGGUGUAUACCCAAAGAACUAUAAAUCAUUCUACUAUAAAGGCACAUGCACACAUAUGUUCGUUGCAGCCCUGUGUACAAUAGCAAAGACCUGGAACCAACCUAAAUGCCCAUCAAUGAUAGACUGGACAAAGAAAAUGUGGUACAUAUAUACCAUGGAAUACUACGCAGCCAUAAAAAAUGAUGAGUUCGUGUCCUUUGUAGGGACUUGGAUGAAUCUGGAAACCAUCAUUCUCAGCAAACUGACACAAGAACAGAAAGCUAAACUCAAUGAGAACACAUGGACUCAGGGAAAGGGGGCAGUUGCAGGGGUAGGGGAGAGACAGUAGGGAUGGGGAGGGAUAACAUGGGGAGAA
Molecule: non-coding RNA, 8418 nt
Organism: Callithrix jacchus (white-tufted-ear marmoset)
Lineage: Eukaryota; Metazoa; Chordata; Mammalia; Primates; Cebidae
Source: RefSeq, a predicted model, not a curated record